GGGAAGGUGGCUCAGUGGUAGAGUGCUUGCCUUGCAUGCAUGAGGCCCUGGGUUCGAUUCCCCCCCCCCA
Molecule: non-coding RNA, 70 nt
Organism: Dipodomys ordii (Ord's kangaroo rat)
Lineage: Eukaryota; Metazoa; Chordata; Mammalia; Rodentia; Heteromyidae
Source: Rfam